Molecule: ribosomal RNA, 925 nt
Filed under: uncultured bacterium
Lineage: Bacteria
Description: bacterial SSU rRNA
Rfam family: Bacterial small subunit ribosomal RNA
Source: RNAcentral
AGAGUUUGAUCCUGGCUCAGAACGAACGCUGGCGGCGUGCCUAACACAUGCAAGUCGAGCGCGAAAAUACCUUCGGGUAUGAGUAAAGCGGCGCACGGGUGAGUAACACGUAGGUAAUCUACCUCGGAGUGGGGAAUAACACAGGGAAACUUGUGCUAAUACCGCAUACGUUCGCACUAUUCGUUUAGUGUGAAGAAAGGGGGCUAGCAAUAGCUCUCGCCCCGAGAUGAGCUUGCGUCCCAUUAGCUAGUUGGUAGGGUAAAAGCCUACCAAGGCAACGAUGGGUAACUGGUCUGAGAGGACGACCAGUCACACUGGGACUGAAACACGGCCCAGACUCCUACGGGAGGCAGCAGUGGGGAAUAUUGCGCAAUGGAGGAAACUCUGACGCAGCGACGCCGCGUGAGUGACGAAGGCUUUCGGGUUGUAAAGCUCUGUCAGCAGGGAAGAAAUCGGAUGUGCUAAUACCACAUCCGGAUGACGGUACCUGCAGAGGAAGCACCGGCUAACUCUGUGCCAGCAGCCGCGGUAAUACAGAGGGUGCGAGCGUUGUUCGGAAUUACUGGGCGUAAAGAGCGUGUAGGUGGUCAUGCAAGUCAGAUGUGAAAUCCCCGGGCUUAACCCGGGACGUGCAUUUGAAACUGCAUGGCUAGAGUGUGGUAGAGGAUAUUGGAAUACCCAGUGUAGAGGUGAAAUUCGUAGAUAUUGGGUAGAACACCAGUGGCGAAGGCGGAUAUCUGGGCCAGAACUGACGAUCAGGCACGAAAGCGUGGGGAGCAAACAGGAUUAGAUACCCAGGUAGUCCACGCCAUAAACGAUGACAACUAGACGUUGGGAGGGUAAGCCUCACAGUGUCGCAGCUAACGCGUUAAGUUGUCCGCCUGGGGAGUACGGCCGCAAGGUUGAAACUCAAAGGAAUUGACGG